This 346-nucleotide ribosomal RNA is filed under the name uncultured Entrophospora. RNAcentral's name for it is "SSU rRNA". It matches the Rfam family "Eukaryotic small subunit ribosomal RNA", at positions 569 to 919 of the family's 1831-position model. The record is from RNAcentral. Lineage: Eukaryota; Fungi; Glomeromycota; Glomeromycetes; Entrophosporales; Entrophosporaceae.
AGCAGCCGCGGUAAUUCCAGCUCCAAUAGCGUAUAUUAAAGUUGUUGCAGUUAAAAAGCUCGUAGUUGAAUUUCGGGAUUGACACAUCGGUCGUGCCUUAAGGGGUAUGAACUGGUGUAGUCAAUUUCUCACCUUCUGGAGAACCGCGAUGCCCUUAAUUGGGUGUCACGGGGAACCAGGACCUUUACUUUAGAAAAAUUAGAGUGUUUAAAGCAGGCAUUUUGCUUGAAUACAUUAGCAUGGAAUAAUAAAUAGGACGGCAUGAUUCUAUUUGUGGUUUCUAGGAUCACCGUAUGAUUAAUAGGGAUAGUUGGGGCAUUAGUAUUCAAUUGUCAGAGUGAAAUUC